CCUGCCAUGGACCCAGGAGGUGGGAAUAACCCUGUGAAGGCCAGGAUUCACCAGUCCCAAGGGCCCUGUAUCUCAGGGAAAGGCAGCAGGUGGUGGAAACCCAUCAAAUCAGCUCUCAGUCUACUUAUUUGUAACCUAUCUUGUCCCAAAGAAGAUUUAAGGUCAUUGUGAGGCUGCAUGUAAGCGUUCCCAAGCAGGGAGGAAAUACAGGCAAAUUAACUCUGGGGAGGAAUGAAGAUGAGGGGCCUGGAAGCGCCUUGUUCCACUUCGGAAGCUGGUGUGAUCUCAUUGUGCCUGUGCGAUUCCAUAGCUAUAUACCGGUCCUGGCAUGGUGGAGCCGCUUGCCUUGGUGGAGUGGAGUCCUUGACCAUGAUCUGUGCUUCAGAGAAAUACGUAACUACAAAGGCUUGCAUCCCUGCCGGUUUUAAAACGUGGCAUUUCCUGGUGUUUCAGUUUGUGUUUAGUUACCAAAGAAAUAUGCUUUUAUGGCAGGAAAUUUAGGAGAUACAGCAAAAUAUUAAGAAUGAAUAAAAAUAAUUCCCCCCACCCAGUGGUAAGUCCUGGUAAAGCCCGGCAGGUUUUGUUAUUACAUAUACACAAAUACGUAACGUCUCAUAAAAUCUGGCUCACUUCUUGUAUUUUUCAAAAAAUGCAUAGUUUACUUAACAAUAAACCACAAAUUUUUCCCAUAUUUAGUAAGUGUUAUUUGAAGGUAUGGUUUUGAAUCAUGGCAUUGUGUAUGAUAACAUCAUUUACUUAGAUAAUCCCCAAUAGUUGGACAUUUAAAUUGUCAUCCAUUUGGCUACUAUAAACAAAGUAGAAAUGACCAGCUUUGAACCUAAAUCUUUGUUUGGAUGUUUCACUGCUUCCUUGGCAGAAUUAGAAUUAGAAGGAGGGUUUCUGGCUCAAAGGGUAUGGAUAUCUUUUAGGACACUGAUACCUACUCAAAUUUGCAGAUUUUCAACAUUACUCAACAAUAAUUUUCCCGAUGUCGAAGUCAGAAGCAUUUUGUGUCAUCCACCCCAAAACGAGAGCACAUGACAGCAGCUAUUUCAUCGAAAGGACCUCAGUCACUCUGUCUGCCCACAUCACUUGGGUUAUUUCGUUCUAAUCUGACCUUUUGCCAUUAAGUUCUGUGACAGUUUGUGACAGACUAUGACAAUAAAG
This is a long non-coding RNA of Equus caballus (horse), 1167 nucleotides long. RefSeq lists it as uncharacterized. Lineage: Eukaryota; Metazoa; Chordata; Mammalia; Perissodactyla; Equidae. The record is from RefSeq and is a predicted model, not a curated record.